Xyrauchen texanus (razorback sucker) is the source of this 3533-nucleotide long non-coding RNA. RefSeq lists it as uncharacterized. Lineage: Eukaryota; Metazoa; Chordata; Actinopteri; Cypriniformes; Catostomidae. The record is from RefSeq and is a predicted model, not a curated record. The transcript has 3 exons.
UGUGCUCAGUGAAUUCAUGUUUAUUUGCAUAGUACUUUUCACAGUUAACAUUGUAUCAAAGCAGCUUUACAGAAAAUCUCAUUUUAAUGUCUGUAAUCUAAUACAUGUAAUAAACUCCCCAGUGAGCAGUGUCAUCGAAAAACCCAACCUAGUUUUAUAGAAUGAAUUUUACUAUAACUACAUUUUUGCAAACUGACUUUUACGUGCUGCAUUCUAUGUUGUAGUUUUAUUCUACUGCAGUUUCCAGGUGAAAUGAACACUAGAGGCACUACAACAACUGUGUGUUUUAUAAACCUUUUACACAAAUCAUGACUACAACUGAUUGUGGCAUUAUAAACACAUAUUUUUCACACUAUUACUCACACACUGCUAUGUUAUGAAAUCAAAACACUUUUACUAUGACACAUAAUUUGAAAAACUAUACAUUUUAACUCUGCACACUUAAUCCAAGGUGAUUACCUUCCAUGGUAACUCACCUAAUAGAGUGUUGGAUUUAGGAAUCGGAAGACUGCGGUUCGAGAACAGUCAAGAAAGAGUGCCAGAAGCAACACGAAAUGACGUGGUUGCUUCAAAAAAUUUGCUCAUUUUGUUUUUGGACACUAUCGGUUAGGGAUGUCUUUUUUGUGUCUACCACUCAUUUAAUUUUAGAUCACUUUUGGUUGGAUUUAGGUUAAAGUUUUAGGUUAUGUAGGUAUGUUUUACUCAUUUAAACCUCCAUCAAAUAUUCACCAUAAAAACCAAUUUUCAUGAGACCAGUCUGGAAAAAUUUCCAGACUUUUUUAAAGCCACUUGUGAGCAAGCUAAAGCGUCUGUGGCAAAGAACAAAAACUCCAAUUACAGCCCUUCCCUUACGGGGCCCAUAAAUCAUCCCCAGGCUGCACUAGUGGGAUUGUCUUUGUAAUAAUUAUUGCAUUAAAUAUUUACUUGCCAAUAUUACUGGCCAGUUGGCAGGUAACCUUUUAGGCAUUGCAACAUAGGCAAGUACACAUUUUAAUUACAAUUGAAGAACAAUAGCCUGACCCUCGGUGAUAGAAGCAAAUCGAACCAAAGAAAUAUACUAUACCAGAGACUGUAUAUAAUGAGAUGGAUCACUGGUAUAGUUAUUAUUGGAAGCUCUAGGAAUGGAAGUCCCGCCUUACAUUAAAAGAGCCAAUCACUUUUUUGGGAGAGACAUCGUCUGUCAGUUUUCAUCAAGAAAGUGCCCAAAGUUCACCCAAAAAAAGUUCUCUCAUCUUUUUCUUAUUUUCAUGCCAUCCCAGAUGUUGUAUUCUUUCCUCUGCUUAAAAGAAGAUUUUUAGAAGAAUAUCUCAGUUCUGUAGGUCCAUGCAAUGCAAGUGAAUGGUGACCAGACCUUUCAAGCUCCAAAAAUCGAAUAAAAUAAAAAUAAAAUAAAAGUAAUGCAUACGACUCCAGUGGUUUAAUACAUGUCUUCUGAAGUGAUGCAAUCACUUUGGGUAAGAAACAGAUCAAUAUUUAAAUCCUUUGAAAUACACAAGCUAUACGACAGUGGAGAUUAGCAGUUCUUUGAGCCAGACUAAAUGUGGGUCUCAUUGGCACAUCUUGUUAAGCAUUGAGAGUUGGUUGGCAUUAGUCACACGACUGACAGCAUGAGAAUUUAUGUGUGUUGCCCUCCAAAGGGUACCCUCUUUCACAUCGCUGGGAUCAUGAUGAAAGCCUAGUCAGUGGGACAAGCCGAUGACGUUUAAGCAUUCCACAAUCUUUUGUCUCCUCUCUCCGGCACGCUCGCUCACUUUCUUUCUCUUGUUCCCACUGUGUCACUGUCAGCCAACAUCAACUGUCCAUCGUAUCUCAUCCUGCUUCACAUUGCUUAAUCUCCUUUUCCUUUCCUCCUUACUCAUCUGUUUUUCUGUCGUGAAAUCCCUCCCUUCGAAAAAACAGGCCAAAAACAGCCCUCCCGUCAGCCCUGUGACGCAGGAGGAGGGUAAAAGGGGGUCUAGGAAGGGGAGGUCCAGUGCUGUCCAGUGUAACAGCAGGUCUCCAGUAAAGGGGAGGGUGAUGAGUUUGGCCUUUGGACAGCUUGUGACGCUGCUCCCUUGUGAGAUAUCAGACGAGCCUGACAAAGACACUGAGAAUGCAGAAUGUCUCUGGUCUUCUGUCUCCUGGGUACCUUUUUUUAGCAACAAAGAAUGAGCUAAAAAUAGCUCCACUCACUUGCAUUCUCUUUCCUUUGUUCCAUCAUUCUUUAGUUCUGUUUCAAUUGUCCCUUAUGAGGUUCCUUAGAGAGCAAGAGAGAGAGGAAGAGAGAAUGAGAGAGAUCAGCAUAGUGACCAGACCUGUUUACAUACUGUUUCCAUCCGCCUGUUUUUGUUUUUGUUACUUUUUGGCUCCCCCUUGUUUAUGUUCAGCCCUCUCCAUCUGACACCUACUCUUCUGCCGAGAUGAAGAGAGAUGGUGAAAGAUGGUUAAAGAGACAGAAGCGGUAAACCCAGAGAAACAGACAGAGACAUAGAGACAGACAGGCUGAGAAACUGAGAUGGUGAGCAAUACAGACAGGACAUAUACAAUGACAGAUGGAUGCAUCGGACCGAGGGUUGGGAGGUUGGGAGCUCUCUCAGGGAGCUCCUGGCCUGAUUUGGGUGAAGGGGUAUGUGGUGAUGUGUGCGUGGCUGAGCGACGUCUGUGGAGAGCGAGGCCAAGAGAGUAAGAGCGAGCCAUUAACACACUCACUUACUCUGACGUCUUUGGAGCGGUACAGGAGUUGGGAAAGGUGAAAGGGGGGUGAGAGGGUUCCCAGAUGUGGCUGGAUUGGACACACCUCUGUCACAAAGAAUGGGAGCAGUCAGAGAGGGUCAAAGGACACUAAAACAUCCUCUCAUAAGGAUGAACUUUCUGUAUACACCGUCCCACGAAUGCACACACAUUCAUCUUCCAGCAGUCACUCUUCCUCUUGUUUCCUUAUUUCUUUCUCAACACUGACACUGUGUAAUUCCCUCUGGGAUAUUUUUGAGAUGAUAGAGAAAUUACUCAUUUAUAUAAAUUUGUGUUUCAGCUGGUAUCCUUUCUGUUUUCCUAUUCGGUGUCAUAUAUAUGUUGCCGAACUGUUGAUAUUUGUGUGUGUGUGUUCAUGACUGAGGCAGAGAUAGGCCAGAAUGCAAUAAAAUAACAAUUUGGCGAUUAUAAUUUGAGAACAGCCAACAUGUUUUUGAACAACUGGAGAACAGAGUAACUUUAAACAAAUUUGAUUUAUUUAACUACUUACUAAUGAACUUUAAACAUCCUUGUGUUUAUCAAAAUUAUUAAAAAAAUGUUUUUACCUAUUUAGACUGGUAGAAAUUUGCUCCAUAACACUGUCAAAUAAACUUACAAUUAUUUGUUCCUCCACCCCCCCCCCACUUACAUCCACAUUUAUAAUCUUAAUCAUUCUACAUUUUUGAAGACGUUUUCCAUUUAAGUCUGCUAACUAAAUGACUCCACAAAUAAUGCAAAUCUGCAGUCUGGCAGUAAAACCAAAAUGGACUAAAACCAAAUGAUCAUAUGUUGCAAAUGAUGGUUGCUGCUGUUGUAAGGUUUUG